Molecule: non-coding RNA, 118 nt
Organism: Cephalotus follicularis
Lineage: Eukaryota; Viridiplantae; Streptophyta; Magnoliopsida; Oxalidales; Cephalotaceae
Source: Rfam
GGGUGCGAUCAUACCAGCACUAAUGCAUCGGAUCCCAUCGGAACUCCGAAUUCAAGUGUUCUUCGACGAGAAUGGUACUAAGACGAGCUUUGUCGCAGGACUUCCACAGACACAGGCA